RNAcentral lists this ribosomal RNA (253 nucleotides) under uncultured bacterium. Its description in RNAcentral is "partial 16S ribosomal RNA". It matches the Rfam family "Bacterial small subunit ribosomal RNA", at positions 524 to 776 of the family's 1533-position model. The record is from RNAcentral.
UACGUAGGGCGCAAGCGUUGUCCGGAAUUACUGGGCGUAAAGGGCGCGUAGGCGGCGACCCAAGUCAGAUGUGAAAGUCCUGGGCUUAACCUGGGGACUGCAUUUGAUACUGGGUUGCUUGAAUUCGGGAGAGGAUAGCGGAAUUCCCAGUGUAGAGGUGAAAUUCGUAGAUAUUGGGAAGAACACCGGUGGCGAAGGCGGCUAUCUGGACCGACAUUGACGCUGAGGCGCGAAAGCGUGGGGAGCAAACAGG